AGGUUCGAGAGAUGGAAAAAUGGAAGGAAGGGAAGACUGGCGAAGCCAAAGCUGCUUUGAGACGUUCUGUGAGGGAAAUUGGAUUGGAUGUAGCAGAGCAAAGUGGAGAGGUUACACAAUCUGUCUCUGGCCCAGUACUUCCAAGGUAUUAGAGGCUCAGCUUGACAAGAGCAUCAUCUAGAUCUUGUAAAUAUGUUCUCAACACCCUCAUGCAGACAUUUCAAAACAAGAGACUGGCUUAUGCUGUCAAGGAAAGCACUCUUGAUAGUCUAAUUACUGAGCUCCUUCUAU
This is a long non-coding RNA of Humulus lupulus (European hop), 291 nucleotides long. RefSeq lists it as uncharacterized. The record is from RefSeq and is a predicted model, not a curated record. NCBI's taxonomy places the organism in Eukaryota, Viridiplantae, Streptophyta, Magnoliopsida, Rosales, Cannabaceae. The transcript has 3 exons.